GCCCCUGUAGUUCAACGGAUAGAACGGGCGUUUCCUAAACGCUAAAUCGUGGUUCGAUUCCACGUGGGGGCG
RNAcentral lists this transfer RNA (72 nucleotides) under Opitutales bacterium. RNAcentral's name for it is "tRNA-Arg". It matches the Rfam family "tRNA". Rfam says of the family: Transfer RNA (tRNA) molecules are approximately 80 nucleotides in length. Their secondary structure includes four short double-helical elements and three loops (D, anti-codon, and T loops). Lineage: Bacteria; Pseudomonadati; Verrucomicrobiota; Opitutia; Opitutales. The record is from RNAcentral. RNAcentral also lists the same sequence under 4 other names.